UUGGCUCUCGCAUCGAUGAAGAACGCAGCGAAAUGCGAUAAGUAAUGUGAAUUGCAGAAUUCAGUGAAUCAUCGAAUCUUUGAACGCACCUUGCGCUCCUUGGUAUCCCGAGGAGCAUGCCUGUUUGAGUGUCAUUAAAUUCUCAACCUCACCUGGUUUCUAACUUGUGUGAUGGCUUGGAUUUGGGAGUUUUGCAGGCUGCAGUUUACUGCGGUUCUGCUCUCCUU
Molecule: ribosomal RNA, 227 nt
Filed under: Coprinus latisporus
Lineage: Eukaryota; Fungi; Basidiomycota; Agaricomycetes; Agaricales; Agaricaceae
Description: Coprinopsis latispora 5.8S ribosomal RNA
Rfam family: 5.8S ribosomal RNA (bases 1-134)
About the family: 5.8S ribosomal RNA (5.8S rRNA) is a component of the large subunit of the eukaryotic ribosome. It is transcribed by RNA polymerase I as part of the 45S precursor that also contains 18S and 28S rRNA.
Source: RNAcentral